This 480-nucleotide ribosomal RNA is filed under the name uncultured bacterium. RNAcentral's name for it is "bacterial SSU rRNA". It matches the Rfam family "Bacterial small subunit ribosomal RNA", at positions 29 to 506 of the family's 1533-position model. The record is from RNAcentral.
AUGAACGCUAGCGGCAGGCCUAAUACAUGCAAGUCGAACGAGAUUAAGGGGCUUGCUCCUUAUGAAAGUGGCGCACGGGUGCGUAACGCGUAUGCAACCUACCUUAAUCAGGGGGAUAGCCCGAAGAAAUUCGGAUUAACACCGCAUAAAAACACAGCACAGCAUUGUGCAAUGUUCAAAUAUUUAUAGGAUUAAGAUGGGCAUGCGUGUCAUUAGCUAGUUGGCGGGGUAACGGCCCACCAAGGCGACGAUGACUAGGGGAUCUGAGAGGAUGACCCCCCACACUGGUACUGAGACACGGACCAGACUCCUACGGGAGGCAGCAGUAAGGAAUAUUGGUCAAUGGAGGGAACUCUGAACCAGCCAUGCCGCGUGCAGGAAGACGGCCCUCUGGGUUGUAAACUGCUUUUAUUCGGGAAUAAACCACAUUACGUGUAGUGUGCUGAAUGUACCGAAGGAAUAAGGAUCGGCUAACUCCGU